Molecule: ribosomal RNA, 1021 nt
Filed under: Escherichia coli
Lineage: Bacteria; Pseudomonadati; Pseudomonadota; Gammaproteobacteria; Enterobacterales; Enterobacteriaceae
Description: partial 23S ribosomal RNA
Rfam family: Bacterial large subunit ribosomal RNA
Source: RNAcentral
GGUAAACGGCGGCCGUAACUAUAACGGUCCUAAGGUAGCGAAAUUCCUUGUCGGGUAAGUUCCGACCUGCACGAAUGGCGUAAUGAUGGCCAGGCUGUCUCCACCCGAGACUCAGUGAAAUUGAACUCGCUGUGAAGAUGCAGUGUACCCGCGGCAAGACGGAAAGACCCCGUGAACCUUUACUAUAGCUUGACACUGAACAUUGAGCCUUGAUGUGUAGGAUAGGUGGGAGGCUUUGAAGUGUGGACGCCAGUCUGCAUGGAGCCGACCUUGAAAUACCACCCUUUAAUGUUUGAUGUUCUAACGUUGGCCCGUAAUCCGGGUUGCGGACAGUGUCUGGUGGGUAGUUUGACUGGGGCGGUCUCCUCCUAAAGAGUAACGGAGGAGCACGAAGGUUGGCUAAUCCUGGUCGGACAUCAGGAGGUUAGUGCAAUGGCAUAAGCCAGCUUGACUGCGAGCGUGACGGCGCGAGCAGGUGCGAAAGCAGGUCAUAGUGAUCCGGUGGUUCUGAAUGGAAGGGCCAUCGCUCAACGGAUAAAAGGUACUCCGGGGAUAACAGGCUGAUACCGCCCAAGAGUUCAUAUCGACGGCGGUGUUUGGCACCUCGAUGUCGGCUCAUCACAUCCUGGGGCUGAAGUAGGUCCCAAGGGUAUGGCUGUUCGCCAUUUAAAGUGGUACGCGAGCUGGGUUUAGAACGUCGUGAGACAGUUCGGUCCCUAUCUGCCGUGGGCGCUGGAGAACUGAGGGGGGCUGCUCCUAGUACGAGAGGACCGGAGUGGACGCAUCACUGGUGUUCGGGUUGUCAUGCCAAUGGCACUGCCCGGUAGCUAAAUGCGGAAGAGAUAAGUGCUGAAAGCAUCUAAGCACGAAACUUGCCCCGAGAUGAGUUCUCCCUGACUCCUUGAGAGUCCUGAAGGAACGUUGAAGACGACGACGUUGAUAGGCCGGGUGUGUAAGCGCAGCGAUGCGUUGAGCUAACCGGUACUAAUGAACCGUGAGGCUUAACCUUACAACGCCGAAG